GAUUCUGCCGAGGGCGUAGCUCUGGUGCACUGGGCCGAUUUUCCAGCCAUGUGGAAUCUACAUUUCCAGCUGAACUGGGACUGGGACUUCAAUAUCAGACUCCCUAGCAGCAUGCAUGCUGGUUGCUGAAGCCAUGGAGGUGUUUCCAAGGACAAUAACCUUUGCUGGUCAAAACAUGGUCUAGACUAUGGAAUUCCAUACUUGCUCUCAGGCAAGGAUUUACUGAGAAAGGAAUACCGUCUUCAUGUUUGUGAAAGUGGUGCUUGUUCUGUAUCUUCUAAAAAAGGAAGGCAGUGGGAAAUGAUGGGUGAAACCUGGUUCAUUUGUUCAACAACGAUUCCGAUAUAAUAUAUAUAAGGUUGGAGAUGGGGAUGAUGACAGACCAGCCAGCCGAACUUAAAUUGGAGUAGACAUCAUGUGCCACCUGGUUGCUGAAGCUCGAGAGGACCUUUAUGGACAAAAAAUCCUGUUCAAGAUAGUUCUGUCUGGAAUUCCAUACCACCUCCAGAGAAUGGAAAAUGUCUUCAA
Long non-coding RNA from Mya arenaria, 528 nucleotides. RefSeq lists it as uncharacterized. The record is from RefSeq and is a predicted model, not a curated record. The transcript has 5 exons. Lineage: Eukaryota; Metazoa; Mollusca; Bivalvia; Myida; Myidae.